UUAAUUGAAACCAAAAAGAGGUAUGUCACUGUUAAUGACAAAAUUGAAUAGAUAUUCCAAUUAAA
Molecule: transfer RNA, 65 nt
Filed under: Pseudabris przewalskyi
Lineage: Eukaryota; Metazoa; Arthropoda; Insecta; Coleoptera; Meloidae
Description: tRNA-Asn
Source: RNAcentral